RNAcentral lists this ribosomal RNA (538 nucleotides) under Bifidobacterium longum subsp. infantis. RNAcentral's name for it is "bacterial SSU rRNA". It matches the Rfam family "Bacterial small subunit ribosomal RNA", at positions 160 to 711 of the family's 1533-position model. Lineage: Bacteria; Bacillati; Actinomycetota; Actinomycetes; Bifidobacteriales; Bifidobacteriaceae. RNAcentral also lists the same sequence under 1 other name. The record is from RNAcentral.
GUGGUAAUGCCGGAUGCUCCAGUUGAUCGCAUGGUCUUCUGGGAAAGCUUUCGCGGUAUGGGAUGGGGUCGCGUCCUAUCAGCUUGACGGCGGGGUAACGGCCCACCGUGGCUUCGACGGGUAGCCGGCCUGAGAGGGCGACCGGCCACAUUGGGACUGAGAUACGGCCCAGACUCCUACGGGAGGCAGCAGUGGGGAAUAUUGCACAAUGGGCGCAAGCCUGAUGCAGCGACGCCGCGUGAGGGAUGGAGGCCUUCGGGUUGUAAACCUCUUUUAUCGGGGAGCAAGCGAGAGUGAGUUUACCCGUUGAAUAAGCACCGGCUAACUACGUGCCAGCAGCCGCGGUAAUACGUAGGGUGCAAGCGUUAUCCGGAAUUAUUGGGCGUAAAGGGCUCGUAGGCGGUUCGUCGCGUCCGGUGUGAAAGUCCAUCGCUUAACGGUGGAUCCGCGCCGGGUACGGGCGGGCUUGAGUGCGGUAGGGGAGACUGGAAUUCCCGGUGUAACGGUGGAAUGUGUAGAUAUCGGGAAAAGAACACCA